CGUAAACCGACACAAAAAGAAGAAACUGAGCUUUCGUCGCCAUUGAAAUGGCUUGCAGAGUUACUGGCAAAACUUCUUUGCCAUUGCCAUUAAAGCCAGUCACAAGAUCAGCCACGCGUAUUGGACGAACUCCAGGUACCUCUUCUUUGAAAGGGAAGGAGCUGGCGCGGUAGCGGUACAUCACACACCUGCUUGUAUUCCGCAUUCUGAUAUUUUCCUAGGAAAUUGUACUCUGACACUUUUAUGAUUAUGACAAUGUUUUCCGUCGUGAAACAUCUUUUUUGAAAUGAAAUGAUCAUUGAAUGAUUUAUUCCUAAA
This is a long non-coding RNA of Lactuca sativa (garden lettuce), 318 nucleotides long. RefSeq lists it as uncharacterized. The record is from RefSeq and is a predicted model, not a curated record. Lineage: Eukaryota; Viridiplantae; Streptophyta; Magnoliopsida; Asterales; Asteraceae.